ACCAUGACUUUGGGACCUUAGCUGGCGGUCUGGGUUGUUUCCCUCUUCACGACGGACGUUAGCACCCGCCGUGUGUCUCCCGUGAUAACAUUCUCCGGUAUUCGCAGUUUGCAUCGGGUUGGUAAGUCGGGAUGACCCCCUUGCCGAAACAGUGCUCUACCCCCGGAGAUGAAUUCACGAGGCGCUACCUAAAUAGCUUUCGGGGAGAACCAGCUAUCUCCCGGUUUGAUUGGCCUUUCACCCCCAGCCACAAGUCAUCCGCUAAUUUUUCAACAUUAGUCGGUUCGGUCCUCCAGUUAGUGUUACCCAACCUUCAACCUGCCCAUGGCUAGAUCACCGGGUUUCGGGUCUAUACCCUGCAACUUAACGCCCAGUUAAGACUCGGUUUCCCUUCGGCUCCCCUAUUCGGUUAACCUUGCUACAGAAUAUAAGUCGCUGACCCAUUAUACAAAAGGUACGCAGUCACACGCCUAAGCGUGCUCCCACUGCUUGUACGUACACGGUUUCAGGUUCUUUUUCACUCCCCUCGCCGGGGUUCUUUUCGCCU
This 547-nucleotide ribosomal RNA is filed under the name Escherichia coli 2-474-04_S1_C2. Its description in RNAcentral is "partial 23S ribosomal RNA". The record is from RNAcentral. Lineage: Bacteria; Pseudomonadati; Pseudomonadota; Gammaproteobacteria; Enterobacterales; Enterobacteriaceae.